RNAcentral lists this long non-coding RNA (2319 nucleotides) under Heterocephalus glaber (naked mole-rat). Its description in RNAcentral is "lncRNA (ENSHGLG00000042561.1)". Lineage: Eukaryota; Metazoa; Chordata; Mammalia; Rodentia; Bathyergidae. The record is from RNAcentral.
CUGUAGUCCUGUAGUUGCUCGCGCCUACAAGUUUGAGACCAGCCUGGGCAACAGGAGGAAAUCUCUGCGCCAAUAAUUAAUUAAUUAAUGAUUGAUUAAAAUGUAAAAGGAGGCAGAGAGCCAGGCAAGGCUACCCAAAGUCAGCUCCCUGUGAAUAACGGGCAAGGUCCCCGCCACCCCCGUUUCAGACAGUAGCCAAAGCAGCCCAGGUUCCCACCAGGAGAGCCACCGAGGGGCUUGGUGCCGCUCCAGGCUCGCCAGAGGUCGGGACUGCAGGGGCCCUGCCCCCUGUGCCGCCAGCCCUGCUCAUCACCACCGCCAGCCCGCCUCCAGGGCUGCUGGGGGAAGCGGUCCAGCUGGCAGCAGACACUAGGACGUGCGGGGCGGCCCGGCCGCGGUCCCCGGUCCCCGUGGGAGUCUUCAGCGCCGCAAGAAGUCGCUUUCUCAGGGUACCUGCAGGGGUCCGAGCAGCAGGGCCUGGUUCCUUGGCGUCCUAUGGAUCUGCACCACUCUGAGCUGAGUGGUGGGUAAGAGAUGCGCGUGGAGAGAAAGACUUCGCCGGGAGAAAGGAGGCCGCGCGCCAGAGGUGCUCAGUUCCGAGUUUCCUUGAGCUGGGCCCGGCCCGCUUUCCCCACUGAACUGCCGUCGAGUGCACAGCCCCCCCCCCCCGCCCACCCCGAUCGAUCGUAAAGUUCCAGAAGCUGCAGUGACGACCGGCCCGUCCUUUCAACCCGACAGCCGGAUCCCAGCCUUGCAGGUGCGGGGCGCGGGGGACCGGAGCGGUUCGGGACCCAGGUGACGCUGAGCCCCGGGGCCCUCGGGCCCGCUAGUGCAGGGAGUUGGUGCCCCGGAGCUCAGGGACAGAGAGGGUCAGAGAUGGGGCUUGAAACGGGGUGCGGGUGCUGCCCAGAAUGCAAAGUGAGCUUCCCGGCCGCCAGAGCAUCUGGGGGUUUCUGUCCGUCCGUCCGUUUGUCUUUGCUUUCGGUCUUUGGCGGGAGCAGAACUCACCCCGGCGGCGUCUGCAGUCCCCGGGGCGGCCUCAGGUUCUAGCCGUGCACGAGACCGGUGUGGACCGGUGCUGCGGGAGAUGCCGAGCUCGGUCAGUCCCUGGGCCGCGACAGGAGAGGAGAGGACGCUGGGGACCGCAGAGAAGCAGAGCCCAGGGGACCCGAGCCCCCGGCCUGGCCGCGCAGUUUUCCUGGCGGGUUUCCGUGGUGUCCUCUCGCAGGUCCGGAAGGGGGAAGGAUGUCAGAGGCCCUGCCCACCUGAGGGCCCGGCUGGCUGCGUUCGAGGCGAGAGGAGACAGCCAGUGCGAAGCUUCCGGAGGUCUAGGACAAAGCCUAAAGGGAUUGGGAAGCGCAGGUUCCUGGCGUUACUGCCUCGGAAAACACGAAGGGAUGGCACAGGAACACGCGCGGCCUCUUGGACCGGCACCCUGGAAACCGCAUCCCCGGGGCCCCGACGGGAGUGCCGGGUGGGAGGCAGGGACUCUGAGCGGGAAGGCGACUGAGAGUGGGCCUGCCCUGGCCUCGCAGGAAGGGCACCCCGAACCGCCCUGUACCCCCGAAGGCCGGGCAAUCCUCUUCCUCAGCAGACCCUGCGGGCAGCUUUCUCUACAACAGGGGACCCAGGAGACAAGCAGCGGCCAGGACUGGACCCAGGCCGGCAGUGGACAGGAGGCCGGAAGCAAGAUGCAGACUCGGAGCUUGGAGCUCGGAGCUCGGGGCUCCCAGGAAAUGCACCUCUGACUUGCAAUAUGGCACCAGAGGAGGGCCGCUGGCUGGCAUGAGAGUCACGAUGGAGGGAGGCAAAUCUCUGCUCUGACCUGUGAACAAAAGCUGACAGCUCUCUAUAGUAUUAUCUCCUUGAUUUUAGGCCGAAAGGCUGGCGCCUGGGCGUGAUUAGACCGUCUACCCCGCCCGCCGCAACCUCGCAUAUAGCCCACAAGGUGGCGCCACAAAGCAGUCGCAGCGGGACGAACCAACUGCGAGUCCAGCGAGGCGUAUGUCCGUCACCGUCCGGGUUUCCAAUACCCAGGACGUGGAGUUACAGAAGUCGCCACGUGAAUUUUUUUUUUAAAAAGGAGAAUAAAUUGCAAUGAUAGUGUGCAACAAUGUCCUAAAGUGUAAAACUCUAACUUUUUUUACAUUUGUGGUUGCAAUUUUCCAAAAAGACGUAAUAAAUCUAGUAAUCUCACCCAAAUAUUAAUUCAUUUACUUUUUCAUAAAAGCAUCGAAUUUUAGUGAUGUUAGAAUGAACCUUGAAGGCUGCCUGGUCUACCUUUCCACCCUUAGGAGAAAACCCAGGGAUCGCUCUCCA